This is a long non-coding RNA of Sipha flava (yellow sugarcane aphid), 1217 nucleotides long. RefSeq lists it as uncharacterized. Lineage: Eukaryota; Metazoa; Arthropoda; Insecta; Hemiptera; Aphididae. The transcript is spliced from 4 exons. The record is from RefSeq and is a predicted model, not a curated record.
CGACCGAGAUCGAGAGAGGUUUUCCUCGAUUUUGAUGUUAUUUCUUUUCUUUUUUUUUUUCGAUUUGUCGUCAACGCUUCAUUCUCUCUCGGUCUCCGUCAUUCUAUCAUUUUUCUCUCACUCUCAUCUUUCUACUUCUCGUCUAUUGUUUUUGUAUUUAUUAUACGCCUUUUUCUGUCUUGCGAACCGUAAUUUUUUCGCGGUUGUAUUUCUGUCGGUCCGUAUUUUUCGCCCUCUGCGCACUGUGUACACACGUACACAAUCAUAUAUAAUAUCCGUAUACAACAUCGCGAUACGUUAUAUUGUUAUCCGUUUUAUUUCUUCUCGUAUGCUUCGCACAUAAUAAUAUACGUACACAUGUCACACGCGUGUGUAGGUUAGCGCUGAUUUUUAUUCGUUCCAUUUUAUUGGACUACGUUAUUUUUCGAUCACGCGCUUCCGUUAUUAUAUUUUUCAGCCGUACGUCAUCGGAACAAUGCGUACACACAAUAUACGAUAUACAUGUACCCUUAUAAAAUAUUUACGUAUUUGCAUACAAUGUGCAGUGACGUAUCCAGGGGGGGUUAGGGGGUUAACCCCCCACAAAAAAAAAUUCUGUAUACACCACUGAUAAUGUGUACUCGUCACAUUAUUAUAAUCGUCGUCGUUUGUUGUUUCCCGUUUUCUGCUCGUCGUAACUGCAUCGAAAAACAAAUAAUAUCCAGACAAAAUCAAACUGCAUUACCAGUUACCACUCAUACCCUUCCUCCGACCAUUCGGUUAUCAUCAGUCGAGACCCUGAUACGACAGAUGGAAUAAUAUCUAUAGACAAGCAUCGGAUGUCUCGCAGUUGAUUCCAAUAGUUCGAUGGCGGACCGUGACUUCUAAGCGGAUGGCUAUUGGGACUCACUGCUUUAAAGAAUUACUUUAUACAGAAAAGAAAUAUUUUUCUAAGAUAUCUGAGGUUUACAAGAUUUAUAGCCUCAGUGUUAGCUGUGACCUAGGACCGCCUACACGAAAAGAACACGGUGUGUGAUUGCAGUGAAGGUGUGUCAUUUGGAGAGGGGGCGGAAAUUCAUUCAUUUGCCACAGUCUAGAGCAGUGGUUCUCAAACUUUGGUACGCGUACCCCUUGGGGUUAGGUUUGAUUUGUUCUACGUUCAACAAUGUUAUAAACUUUUUAUAUGACUAUUCUCGUUUUACAAAAAUACCUAAUUAUAUUUCAUUAUUAUUAUUCUU